GAGCAACGGGUAUUUAAUUUGAUGGCCAUGGGGAGCCACUGAAGGUUUUUAAGCAGGAAAAUGACAUAAUCCAAGUUGGGCUUUAAAGGUACGAUUUGAGAUUGUAAGGUUGAGUAGAAAGUUAUGACAAUAAUCCAGGCAAGUGUUACUGAAGACUUCAACUAGGGUUUUUUGGUUUUUUAAUUGGGAACGUAGCAAAGUGUGACUUUAUUCUGAUGGACAUGCAUGGGCACCCAGCAGACAUCCGAUAACACUGUGUAACAUGAAUGAACAGAUGAGUGACCUGGGAACAUCACCACACAGACCAAUCAACACAGUCAUGCAGUUAAGCUUUACAUUUUGAGCUCUUUUCACCCAUAUCAAGUGGACCCAAAAAUCCUUUCUUGAACAUUUGCACUUGGGUUCAUUGUUUGGAUGGUUGUACACGUAACCAGGUUUCUAGUCUCUUCUCUCCCUCUCAGGCUGAGGUCUGUCCACUGCAGGCAGGGGGUGCACAUGGGGUUCACCUUCCUACCUGUGCAUUUGCUGACAGUCUGCUGCAGUUGGGGCAGCAGUGGAGAAAGGUGACAUCGGGUCCUUUGCCCAAGGUCAAGUCACUGGGCCAUUCUGGGCUCGGCUCUUCAUCUGUAAACUGCCCGUCACAAAAUGGGGAGAGCUUUAGGGACUGCUGGUUUGAGACAUUGGGGACAUAAGUGAGCCUUCUGGACUUGGGGUGUUCUUGAGAGGUUCAGCUCGGCCACUCGAAGUGUGGGACAUUUGCUUGGUUGGCUGGGUAGCUUCUGGCCUCUUUGUCCUCAGGUAAAACUGCCAGGUCACCAGAUUCUGGAUAGGUGAAUUGUCCCUGCUUCAUACCAACACACUUCAUCCUAAAAGAACAUCUAGAUCCUUGCAUGAGUCAUCGUUUCUUGAAUCGGCUUCAGUUAGGUUCUACUUUCCUAUACUUUUCUCAGUAUAUGUCAGACUUCACUCAUAGAUGACAGUGGAGUUUUUUAAUACACUGUACAGAUCCCUUCCCAGGACUCUGAUUAAACUCACACACUCCAUCUGGUGUCACAAAAGCUGUUUCAAGCCUGGAUCCUCUCUCUGAGGUUAUUUGCCAACAACCUAUCUAUAAAUUAAUAGUUAUGGUACGUUUAUUAGUUUCCAGGCCUUCUAAUAGCAUAUCAAUUCUGGACAGAAGCUUAGCAUCUGGUUUGGCCAAAGAAUUUAAUUUUCUACAAACCACAUAAUCUAAUCAGAUCAUCUGGUCUUCAAACACUAAUUCGGUGGCCUUGAAGUGCUGAUGCGAGCACCAGGCCCGAGCCGGACAGAGUUUUCACCAGCCUGUAAGGAGGGGGUUUUACGAAAAGGUCAAUAUAGUGGAUUUUUUAAAAGGGUAACUAUAUUCAGCUUAAAGGACUGUCCAUUUUUCUGAGGUUAUGCUCUUUCUUCAUUGUCAAGUGUGUUAUAAUAUUUAAGAUAUUUUUCUUUAAAUAAACGUAUUUGACAAAAUAAAAAUGGACAACUCUGACAGUGCCUCAGAUCUUGGAGAACGUUUUACUGAUAUGAAAUCUAAAGCAAUAGGCUAUCCCAGACUGAUGGAGCGCCCAGUGACUUUACGAAGAUGGGACAAGCCCAGGUGUAAAACCUCCCCCGCCCCUUUCUGGUAUCAGUAAACACCUGCCACUGUUUCUGGUCAGGGACGGCCAGAGAUGAAAAGGUUAGCUUCCCAGAUGGGCUUUUAAAGAGAAGCCUUUAGUCCAACAUCGACUUCUUCUGCAGGAAGAGAGAAUGAGGCAUCUGACUUCGCCCAUAUUUCCCGGUCUUCAUUUUCUGAGAUAUCUGCCUUUCAAAAAAGUUAUUAUUAUUGCUUUUCUAACUUUCAUUCACUGGGCAUCAGUUUGACCUUCAGCUUCAGUAACAAAAAUAAGAGAGCGCCCUUUCAUCCCCAGGCCACACCAGCCUCACCCAGUCAGGGCGUGGCUUCUAUUUCGUGUCCCUGGUCUCAGGGCUCCUGGCCUGGGACCACCCGCGGUCUUUUGCGGCUGUCCCCAGGAACCUCUCUGAUUUUCUUGUCCUUCCUUCCUCCCCCAACCGAAAGAAGAGUAAGGGGUACAAGAUGGUCCAAGGGGAGGGAAUGGCCUCCACUCUGCAUUGAGGACCAGCUUUUGCUGAGUUCCACCCAAAGCCCUGUCAUACUCAUUCUUGGCUAAAACCUAACCAGGGGCCAAGUGCGAAGGUGGCUUCCUUCCCACCUCCUAUUCCUACCUACCUGGGACCCCACCCCCUUAGGGCUCUUUGCUCUUCCUCACCUCCCUGGCUUAUUUCACGGCGGCUAUUUCUUAAUCCGGAGUGCCUGCCCAUCAUAAACCUUCUUCCCUGUCUGUCCUAAAAGGCUUCAAAGUCUUUGUGCAAACAGAACUUCCUUGACAGCCUGUGGAUCCUAAACCCUUCCCCAUCCCACCUGUGACCUUCAACACUGCAACGCUGAGUCCUGCUUCAAGGCUGGUCUGAGGCCAAGGAGGAGCUGGAAAGCCCACCGAGGGCUAUGUGAAUACUGUUCUGUAGAUUUUACACUCAGCAAUCAAUCCGCCAUCUUUCCAUGUCAAUAUACAUAAAGCUACCUCCACACGUUUAACCGGUGAACAGUACUCUUUUAUGUGGUUAUGCCGUAAUUUAUCCUAUCCUCUGUUGAUGGAUAUUCAGGUUAUUUCCAACUUUUCUCUAUUACAAACAAUGGUGCAACAAACAUCCUUGUACAUGUUUCUUUUUCCACUUGUCUUUCUGUUUAUAGCAGUAUUUCUGGACCCAAGAAUACAACAUAUAAAUGCUGAUACCGGUAGGUGGUACAUUUUUGGAAGGUAAUUUUCCUCGAACAGGAUAUGAACAUUCUUUUUGCCAAUCACUGUUUCCAUUUCAAUUUCUCUAAUUACUGGGGAUGUAGAAUCUGUGAAUAUGUUUAACUGCCUGUACUUUUUUUUUUUUCGGUGAGGAGGGUGCGCUCUAACAUCUGUUGCCCAUCCUCCUCUUUUUUUGCUUAAGAAAGAUUCCCCUGAGCUAACAUCUGUGGCCAAUCUUCCUCUGUUUUGUAUGGGCGUCGCCACCACAGCACGGCUUGAUGAGUGGUGUAGGUCCGCGCCUGGGAUCCAAACCUGCACACCCAGGCUGCUGAAGCGGAGCGUGCUGGACUUAACCACUCUGCCACGGGCCCAGCCCCUGCUUUGUACUUCUCUAUCUGUACAUUUUCUUUUACUAUUCUUUGCCCGCCUUCCAUUUGGGGUUACAAGUCUAAAAGGAAAUAAAGGUUCUUGAAUAUGAAUAUGAGCCCUGGCCCUCCCCAUUUACAUUCGUCGAGCAGCUAAGUCCCAGGCACUGUGCCACAUGCACAGUAUCUCAGUCACUCUUCAGAGCAACCUUGCAGGGAAGCCUCAUUUUCCCAAUUUUACUCAGGAGACUGAGGCCCAGCAAGGUUAGUGGGAGAGCUGAUACUCAUCUCCAAGUUUGUUUUCAGGCCUGUGGUCUUUCCAUGAUACCAGUCACACCCUCUAAACGAAAAUCCCCCAAUAGGAUUUUAAGGUGGUUUCCAGAUAGUAAUGGGAAAAUGAUAUGGGAGCUAGAAGACAAAAGAAAUAGGGGUGGAGAGAGUGACAUCUCCCUUCUUGCUGUGUGGUCAAAACACAUCAUUCGUUAACAGAGGCAGGUCAUUCGUGGCUUCCCAUGUUUCAAGCCCAAGGCUCUGAUUGCAGUAUAUUCCUGUUCAAUUGCAUUCCACAGUUAGGUUCUAAGGGAUGGAUUAUAGAGUCACGAAAUGUUGGACUGUAUACUGUUUAACUUAAAACCAAACCAAACCCCACUUCCCGGCCCAGCCCGAGAUUCUGACUUCGUUGGCCAGGGGACGGCCUGGGCAUCAGUGGUUUGGCAGCUUCCCGAGUGAUUCUCAUUUGCAGCCACGGCUGAGACCCACUGUCUUAGGUCAUCUCUACUAUCCCUUCUAGCUCUAACGUCCACAUUUCAUAGCUGAGAAAGGGAGGCUCAGAAAGGGAAUGUGAUUUGCCCAAUGUCACACUGCUCUAAGUGGCGAACUCAGACUACAGUGCAGGUUUGAUGGCCUCCAGAGGGCACAUGUCCAGGGCCCUCAUAGUCCUUCCUUUUCAGAGGUGCCUCCACUGACAGCUUUAUUCAUGGGUACAGAUAACGGUUGAUAACAACAUUGUUUCCAGGGUAAGAGCUUGAGUCAUUUGUAUCAGAACUUGCUACUCUGCUGCCUUUGCUCCCGGCUGUACUCUAUGAGCCGGUUCCCUCUGCUCAUGAUCAUGGCUCCUUCCCCUGCACGUCCAAUUCAAGCCACAUCUUUUCUUGUGAGCUUCAUCUUCGUGUGUGUCACUGUUAC
This is a long non-coding RNA of Equus caballus (horse), 4369 nucleotides long. NCBI's taxonomy places the organism in Eukaryota, Metazoa, Chordata, Mammalia, Perissodactyla, Equidae. The record is from Ensembl.